This 378-nucleotide long non-coding RNA is filed under the name Phasianus colchicus (ring-necked pheasant). RNAcentral's name for it is "lncRNA (ENSPCLG00000003682.1)". The record is from RNAcentral. Lineage: Eukaryota; Metazoa; Chordata; Aves; Galliformes; Phasianidae.
CAGAGCUGGAGGUGAACCCAAACACUCAGAGGUAAUUUGCCUUGAGGAGCAAGAGCCCUUGAGACCUAUGUGUGGACUUUGGAAAAAAGAAUGUGUGAACAAUAGUAAAGGAUAUGAACGUGCCAUCCUCUGACAGGAUAUGAAAGCAUCAGAGAGACUACAUACUUCUCUGUGAGGGUGCAGGAAGGAGGAUGCUUGCUUUGUUCAUUCAUCUUUGAUACAUACCAUCACAUAAGAAGUGCCUCUUCAGGACAAAAGGCACCAUUUCAUUGCCUGGUUCAUCUCUGGUUCAUGCCUCCUGAAAGUGUUUGGUGUGUCUCUCUCCUUGCUUUCUGCAGGAACCUAGCUUUGUAAAUCAACUGCUUGGGAUAAGAAAAU